UGGUCAGUGAGAAAUGUUUUCUUUCUAAGGUGUAAGGUGCCCAGGAGUAAUGUGAAUAAUGAGAGCAGCAUAUGAGCAGGAGACAAGAUUCCCUCUUACAACCUGACAUGGAGUCCUUCCACUAACAAUCACCAUGGAGGAGCAUGUAUUCACUCCUUUCCACAUGGCAUGAAAAGGAUACUGAGUUCUACCAGCAUCCUGCAGAAGGAGCAAUACCUGAGUCAGGAGAUGAGCAGUAAAGGGACAUGGUAGGAUGACCCAGUCCUUCCUGUAUGCUUGGACUGCAUCUUCGACCAGGACACAGCAAGAUCUUACAAAAUAAUUCCUGUGCUGAAUGUCGUUCUGAAACCUGUUCCCUCCAAGUGGUUGCAGCAUUCACCUAGGAGGUGGGAGACCUGACACCUGACAAUAGCCUCAGACCUGAAUGAACUCCACAAUCCUGUUUUCCUCCUUCCAAACAUGGCUGUGAAGAUAAGUGUAUCAAGGGUUGGGAAGCAGUGAUCUGCCAGGAGAAAAUGCAG
Molecule: long non-coding RNA, 521 nt
Filed under: Gallus gallus (chicken)
Lineage: Eukaryota; Metazoa; Chordata; Aves; Galliformes; Phasianidae
Description: long non-coding RNA NONGGAT002333
Source: RNAcentral